Molecule: long non-coding RNA, 453 nt
Filed under: Fukomys damarensis (Damara mole-rat)
Lineage: Eukaryota; Metazoa; Chordata; Mammalia; Rodentia; Bathyergidae
Description: lncRNA (ENSFDAG00000027363.1)
Source: RNAcentral
GGACAGAUGCAAGUUGAUAUACAAUGGGGUUUCAUGUCCCAUGCUUAUUUGCAGAUAAAGUAUCAACAUUUGGCUACAGCGUCUUUCCAGUGAGAUUUAAGUUUAAGUUAUCUGUGCACUUUCAAGGUGGGCUUUUCUAAUCUUAUUCCUCUAACUGUAUGCAGUUGGAAACAAAUCCUAUGCGAGAUGCUGAACAACAAUGGGGAGAGAACUUGCCUACCAAUCAAGAAAACCUUUCUUGGGCCAUUAGAUCCUCACCUGGGCAGAGAGAAAACUUGCAACAUAAUGAAGUAACACAUUCUGCAAGCUGCAAAAGAUAACAGGAAGCCAAGCGCCCUGUUUGAGAUAAACAGCCUGCCCCACGCAGCAAUGCCUUGGAGGUCCAGACGCCCAUGGAGACUCUCACCCAAACUCCCAGAGUCAAAAGUCUUGUCACACUUGUUUGCACCCAGG